This 8926-nucleotide long non-coding RNA is filed under the name Ananas comosus (pineapple). RNAcentral describes it as "long non-coding RNA (ACOM_LNC002368)". Lineage: Eukaryota; Viridiplantae; Streptophyta; Magnoliopsida; Poales; Bromeliaceae. The record is from RNAcentral.
AAAGGGCGUGAGAACUAUUAACAAUAGUCCAGUGGGUAAGCGCCAGCCUCGGCGAAUUACACACUAGGCAUAGAUGUACUAAAUGGAAAAUAAAAGCAGUAAUUUGCAUGAAUAUUUUCAAUGCUAACAAUUAAUGAACAUGUAGGCAACAGUAAUCAUUAUCUCAACAGUAAUGAAUUAACUGAAUGGUAGAAGAGCAUGGCAACUACUAUAAGCACAAACAUAAGCAUAAAUGUGUAAGUACAUACUGUACACAUGUAACUAGUAAGCAUUCAUUACUGUCAUUUGUAUUUAGUACUUCACAUCAAUAGAGUUUACUUUCAUUCACAGGGAUCUACUCAAGGUAGUCCAGCUUGCGCCGCGCCUAAUGGCCCCGUGGUAGUACACUCCCCACGGCAAUCCACUUCGGCACCCAAUCCCGCACGAGUGCGAGCAACUGUGGCGUAGGCCAACUCCGGAGUGCGCUUGUAGGGAGCUACCCUCAAAAGCGGUGUCGACAAUGAGCACAAUGGCAGCAAGCAAGCAAGUCCACAGUCCAACUGUCUCAUAUUACAAUUUCAUUUGCAAUGUUCUCGUCUCGAUCCUCGAUCGGAAUUUCAAUAUAACAAAUAUGAACAAUAACUAGAAUCCACUAGUUUAGUAAGCAUGUAAGAGUAAUGCUAAUUUACAGGCAUUAGAAUCUUUUCACUAUCAUGGCACUACCAACAUAGUCCAAAGCAUGUCACGGUUCUCUACUUUAGAGUCAAUGUCAUUGUUUUCUACUUUAAAAACAUAAUUAUCAUGUCCAUUGGUUACUCAACUGAACUAAAGAUAAACAUAAACAUAAGCAUAAAUACUGUUAUGCAUAAAUUCUCUAUCUCAUAGAGAUUCUAGUCAAUGUAUAUGGCAAAGAAGUCCAAAGAACCAUAUAGUGACAAUAUCGCCCACAACUGUCAAUUCGAUACAUAUAUAGACAUAGGGGAGCUUCACUUGCUCUGGUUAGGUCAAACCACACUCGUACUAGGUUCCAAUAAGUUUGCAAGGGUCCCAAAAUCAGCCCCACGAGGUCCCACUGCUCCUGAAAUAAGUAUCAAACCGUGUCAAAAAGACGACUGAAAUGUCGAUCGGAUUAUUCGGCUAAUUUACACUUUAGUGCAAAGUAACCCUUGAAUCCUAUUCUGGCUAGAGUAAUACCUCAAGUUAAGCUUCCAAAAGGUCCUCCAAGCCAGCCAGUCGAAGACGGUCAAAGGCGUCAAAUACCCUCUCGCUGCGAACAAUACGAAACGCAUCAUAUAGUCGAUUAUAAGCUAUAAAUAAUCGACUUCUCGCAAGAUUUAAUUCCUAGCUAAACUUCUGCUUACCCGAAGUUAGAACACCUUCUUAACUCGGUCCAAGUCACUAACUGAAUCCCGUUAAAAGAUUCAAAAACCUGCUGCGAAGAGAACAAUUUCCAAAUUGUAUCAAUUCGGUCGCAUAACCGUAUAUAGUCGAAUAGCUUCAUAAAUGGCUAAUUAUUCCAAUUAAGCUUCCCAAGUAACUUAUUCCAGAUCUAAGAGGGUAAUUCUCAGCUAAAUUAUCUCAUAUAUACAUGCUGAAAUCUCAGGUUAAAGCAGCGGGAGCUAAAAACCUGAAAACAAUACCAAUAUCGAUCGUUAAUAAUGGAAAAGUGAGCCGAUUACCUCGUCAAGCUCCAACAGUAGCUCACUGGUCCAGAGCUGCGAAAGACUUCCAAAUACUCCCUCACACGCCACGUAGCCCUGCGACACUUGCGAACAGCGGAGGAACAACGUCGCGACGAAAACGAACGAAAUCGUCGAAUUCGUUGUUAGAGAGAGAAAAACCUAGAAGAGAGAGAGAAGAGGAAGGUGGUAGAGCUUUCUCUUGAGCUCCAGCAACCCUUACUGAGCUCCCAGAGUCGUGCUGGGCUCAAAUAGGUGAGAGCAACAUGUGAAAUUACCAAAUACCCAAGCUGCUACGUGUUCUGCAUUGUGUACCGGUACAAGCGAAUGGUACCGGUACAGCAAGCAGAAAAGCUGAUUUUCGCCUGUUCAAUGCACUUUCUGUUUCCAACAUUCCGAUCACUCUCAAACUUGUCCAAAAACUUGUCUAAGUCCUUUAGGAACAUGUAGGAUAGUUCCACAUUCAUCCUCACUCUCGAACUCCGCAAAUGCUGACGUUCAGUAUACUAUAAUACAGUAAGUAUCAGGAACCGCUUCGACGACGCACUUCCUGCAAUCCAAAAGUUAAUAGCUCUCAAAAUUGCCCAAAACCACCUUACAACAAUUAGAACUUGUGGGCACAUGCACUUCUCAACCCCACUUUCCAACUAUACACCAAUGUAAAGUUCAAGGUAUUACAUUCACCCCUCCUAACAAGAAAGUUUCGUGCCGCGAAACUUGUAAACACUUACCUUCAAGAUUCUGUCAAGAAAGAGAUAGGGGUAGUGCUCUUGUAUCGCACUCUCCAGUUCCCAAGUGCUUCCCGUUCCUCGUGAUUGCUCCAAGGAUCUUCACGUAGGGUAUCUCGCGAUUCGAAGCCUUUUCACUUCUCGAGCUAAUAUCCUUACGGAUUGCUCCUCAAAACCAAUCUUCAUGCAACUCUCCUACUGGAAUACUCUCCAGUACGUGGGUUGGAUCACAAAACAUAUCUCGAAGUGUGACACAUGAAAAACAUUAUGGCACUCCGAUAGGUUCGCGGCAAGGCAACCGAUACGCUACGGGGCCUAUCCGCUCCAACACCUCGUAGGUCUAUAAAUCGAGGGACUCAACUCCUCGAAUGCCAAAUCUCUUAACUCCUUUCGUCGGGGAAACCUUAGGAAUACAUGAUCGCCAACUUGAAAUUCCAAUUCUCUCCGACGUUUAUCCGCAUACUCUUUUUCGACUUGUGCUGUCAGUAGACAUUCUCGUGCAAGCCGAACUUUAGCUUCAGCCUUUGUAAUACAACUGGACCGAAAUAAUCUCUCACCUACUUCACUCCAAUGAAGUGGUGAUCUGCACUUUCUACCAUAAAGGGUUCAAACGGUGCUAUCUGAAUACUGGCUGUGAUAACUGUUGUUAUAUGGCAAAUUCAGCCAUAGGCAAGAAUUGUGGCAACUGCCUUGAUAAUCAAUCACACAGGCCCGCAAUAUGUCCUCAAGGGUCUGGAUGGUACGCUCAGACCUGCCCAUUCACAUCUGGGUGGAAAGCCAAGUACUAAAAUCACAUCGGGUACCCAAAGCCUCCUGUAACUCAUCCAGAAAUGUGAAACACAAGCGGGUGUCUCGCAUCCGAAACAAUGGAAGGCAGGUACUCCGUGUAAUCGCACAAUUCAUCAAGUACACUUGUGCGAGUCUCUCUCUGACCAAGUUGUGUGGAUUGGAAUAGUGGGCAGAUUGGUUCAAUCUAUCCACAAUUACCCAAAUUGCGUAGUGACUGUUGUGAGCGAGGUAAUCCAACAAUGAAGUCCAUAGUAAUCCUCUCCCACUUCCACACUGGUCAUGGGUAAACUUUGAAGUUUUCCGCACGGAAGUCAGUGUUCAGCUUUGACCUGCUGACAGGUUAAGCACUUAGCUACGAAGUCUGCAACUUCCUUUUUCAUUCCAGCCACCAGUUAGGUUAACUUCAAAUCUUUAUACAUCUUUGUACUCCCGGUGUGUACAGUAAUAACGGCGCCCGAUGUGCUUCUGUUUAGAAUCUCUUUUUUAUAUCUGGAUUGGCAGGGCACACAAUUCUAUCACCGAAUUUAAGCAGUCCCUGAUCAUCCACUCGAAAAUCGCUAAUUGUCAACAGUGAUCUUUGCUCGAAUCUUUUGCAGGAAUCAUCUUGAGCUUGCUUUCUUUAAUUCGAUCGAUCAGGGUUAGGUUGUACCACUAAUGACAUAAGUCUCCAAGGCGUAUCAGGGGCUACAACUUCCAAAGUAUUGCUCCUUCUUUUAUCAACAGUGGUGCAUUGUUAUCGACAUCGCCAAUUUCCCGAUUUUCGACUUAAAGCAUCUGCUACAACAUUAGCUUUUCCGGAUGAUAGAGAAUGGUCAAAUCAUAAUCCUUGAGCACUCCAACCAUCUACGAUUGCUCAAAUUUAAUUCCUUUUGAGUAAACAAAUACUUUAGGCUUUUAUGAUCGUGUAAACCUCGCAACGCUCGCCGUAGAGGUAGUGGCGCCAAAGCUUUAGGGCAAAACACAGCUGCCAAUUCUAGUCGUGUGUAGGGUAGUUUUUCAUAAUCCUUAUUGGCGAGAGGCGAUAGCAAUUACUCUGCCAUUCUGCAUUAGAACACCCCUAGUCUAUUCAGUGAUGCAUCGCUGUAAAUCACAUAAUCUUCUCCCGUAACAGGUAGCGCUAAGAUCGGGGCGGUAUCAACCGUCCUUUUAGCUCCGAAAGCUUCUUUCGCAGGCUUCAUUCCAUAGGAAUUUAGCUCCUUUAUGUGUAAGUCAGUGAGAGGGAGUAGACAUCUUUGCAAUCCUUCAAAAAAUCUUCGGUAGUAUCCGCCAAACCAAGGAAACUGCCAUCUCUGUGACACUAUCGGCUAGGCCAAUCUUUAAUCCGUUCAAUCUUCUGUGGCACCCACAGCUAUCCCAGUUUCUGAAAUUAACAUGUCCCAGAAAUGCACUUUUCGAAGCCAAAUUCACAUUCUUUAACUUGGCAAACAAUUCUUUUUUCGGAGUACUUGUGAACACCACUCUCAAAGGUCUUCAUGUCCUUGUCACUUCGAGAUAUAUCAAAUGUCAUCAAUAAACACUACACAAUCUAUCCAAAUAGGGCUUAAAGACACUGUUCAUUAAAUCCAUAAAAGGCUGCUGGGGCAUUAGUCAAUCAAAGGCAUGAUGUAAAUUCAUAAGCCAUUACCGUGGUCUAAAAGCAGUUUCUAGAGACAUCUUCAGGCUUGAUCUUAAGCUGAUGGUAACCAGAUUGCAAAUCAAUCUUGAAUACACCUUCGAUCUUGCAGCUGAUCAACAAGUCAUCAAUUCUGGGCAAUGGUAUUUAUUCUUGAUCGUGACUUUGUUGAUUUCCGAUAAUCCACACACAUCGAAGGAUCCAUCCUUUUUCUUGACAAACACACCGGUGCUCCCAAGGAGAUACACUUUGACGAAUAAAUCCUUUUAUCUAAGAGAUCUUGUAAUUGUGCCUUCAGCUCUUUCAAUUCAGCGGGUGCCAUCCUUAUGGUGCUUCCGAGAUAGGGGCAGUCCCAGGACAGAUCAAUCAUAAACUCGACUUCGCCUAUCAGGUGGCAUGCGCCGGCAACUCACGCUGAACACAUCCCGAACUCCGCACAACUGGGAGUAUCAUCAAUCGUUGAUGGCUUCACCACCACUCACAAGAGAUUCUAGGCAAAAAGGCUACACAACCUCUCCGUAUCAACUGUCGGGCUCGCGAGGAGCUAAUAGUCAUUCGAACAAUGAACUUGCACACCCUUUAUAAACAAUCUUGCUGAUCCGGCUCCCUAAAGGUCACUGUUCUGUUCGUGCAAUCAAUAGUGGCAUAAUACUGUGUAACCAAUCCAUACCAACACUACAUCAAACUCACCUAGUUUAUGUAGUGCCAAUAAAUCCACUGGCAUAAUCCAGUCGCCUACCCUAAUGGGCAGCGAGGGCAAAACUCACGAACAUCUAGAGUAUGGCAGUACAAUAACUCGUCCCAGAUGCAAGUAUAGCUGCUAAUUCGUAUGCUAUGCACUCGGCGAAUGCCCGAUCAAAAAAGAAUGCGAAGCACCAGUAUCAAUAUAAUGCACAAUACGAAUAUCAUAAAGCAUAAUAAUACCUGCUACGACCUCCUGUUGCUGCUGCGGGCGCCCUCGGUCUGGGUGGCAUACAUCCGCCCACUCGAACCCUGCUGCGAACUCUCCGACUGCCGCUGUCCUGGUGGUCGCCUAGACUGAUAAGGCGCUGUCGGGGUCCCCUGGCUCGGAGCUGAAGACGCAGGUGCAGUCGCUGACGAGGGUGCAGGCAAAGAACCUCUCGGGCACUCUGAACGAAAGUGGCCCUCCUGGCCGCAAAGAAAACACCUGCCCCCACGCUGUGGACACUGUGGCGGUACGUGAGGCCCACCACAGAUAACACAACGCGGCGGUCGACGACGCUCGGGUGCUCCACGGGGCGCUGAAGAACCUCGACCCCUCGACUGACCUGUCUGGCCCGUCUGGUUCCUCGGAUACUUUGGCGGUCUCCGGAAGGACUGCUGACCACUGCUCUCAGCUGCUGGUCUCUUUCCUUUGCUUCUUUCCACAACGUCUCUUUCCUUCAUGAUUUCUGCCCCUUUCUCAACGAUCAAGGCCCGGUUCACUACAUCUCGAUAAGUGGAGAGGUUUGACGCCUGGACCAAUCUGAAAAUCGCAGGUCGCAAACCCACCUCAAAAAUACGAGCCUUGUCCUCAUCAUCUCUAACCACAAACGGAACGCAGUGCAGUAGUCGGGAGAACUCUCGCUCGUACUCAGCCACUGUCCUGUCCCCUUGUCUCAAGUUCCUCAGAUCCCUUUCCAUCUGCCUCUUCACACUCUGUGGAAAAUAGGUAGUCAACAACAACUCCUUGAACCUGUUCCACGUAAUAGCAGACAAAUCAGCACGGGGAUCCUCCCGGAUGUCCACCCACCACCUGUAAGCCUCGCCGUCAAGGUGGUGUGUCGCAAACCAAACCCGGUACCGCUCCUCCACAAAGGUAUCAUAGAAUAGCUUCUCCAUAUGCAUCAGCCAUUUUUCAACCACCCAAUGAUCGGCUUUCUCCCCGUCAAAGAUAUGAGGGUUGCAGCGACGGAAUUUAUUUAAUCGUUCCAUCAUCCGCUCUCGCUCCUCAACCCCCACCAUCUCGGGUAACACUGUCCCAGCUGCUGCUACAGGUACUGGUGGUGGUACUACUGUCUCCUGUCGGGUCUCUGCCCUCGGAGCUACUGGGGGUGUGUCAAGUACAGGUGACUGUGCUCUCACUGUGGUGCCCCUCUCUGGUGCUAUAGGUACAGAAUCUGGAAUCUCUCUGUCGGUCGUCUGCCGCAGUAACAGAUCCUCUAACCUCUUCAUCCUGUCCUCCUGCCGACGCGCAGCGUCCAUCUGCUGUCGUGCUGCCGCGGCCUGCUGAGUAACCAACUCUGUCAACGUCGCAAGCUGAUCCUGCAACUCAUGGAGCUCACUGGACCCCGAAGUGACGGAAGUCUCAACUUCUUCCGCAGCGGCUGCCUCAGCCGCCCCGGCGGUUCCAGAACGAGUCGUAGGCAUCUUCGACUGCAAUACAAAAACAAACAUAGGUCAAUAAACCCUAUACUACUAAACCCUCAUUGAGGAUAUAAACCAGCUAAUUAAGCGAAAGCAAUGAGAUGUAACGCAUACUAACUUCCGAUGUCACGUUGUCGGCCGCCAACGUGACCCUCUGCAAAGUUAGUAAUUGCACAUCCCGAUCAAACUCCUACUAUUCGGAGUUUAUAAGUACCCAAUCACAGUACUUUCGCUAACAACAACCUCGACUAGACAUCGUCUCUCACGAGCCUAUUCUUAUAGUCCAACCAGCCUAAGGUUUGCUAGGUCUACUAAGACUCAACCCUAGUCUCUGAUACCACUAUAAUCUGUCACGCCCGAAUACCAGCGGAAGCAUAUCCGGCACGUGCACAGACCCGCCAUACACCUGCAGUAUAUAAGGCGUCUACAAGAAGCAAAUCGAUAGGAAGUAAAACAAAGAAAGUCCUAUCCUGAUAUCAGAGCAAAGUACAAGUCAAAAUACUAUCAGCAAAAGGGCAAAGAGUGUACAAUCCAAAACUCAACCAAAAGAUGAAAGUAUCACAACUAUAAAGUCUGAUCCAUACAGUAGAUAUACAGUACUGGGUAUACAAAAAGAAGGUACAAGGGUAGUCUCUCUAUACAUAAGGACAUCACCCUCGGCCGUAGCCCGAGUAACAAGGUGAUCGACUAGCACGCUCCUAGUAGUCCCUAGCUAGGCGCGACUCCCUUGCCACGAUCCCUAGCCUCUCCUGUAACAGGCUCUGUAAAAACAACCACCAAAAGGGCGUGAGAACUAUUAACAAUAGUUCCCAGUGGGUAAGCCGCCAGCCUCGGCGAAUUACACCACUAGGCUCAUGAUGUACUAAAUGGAAAUAAAAGCAGUAAUUUGCAUGAUAUAUUUUCAAUGCUAACAAUUAAUGAACAUGUAAGCAACAUGUAAUCAUAAUCUCAACAGUAAUGAAUCAACUGAAUGGUAGAAGCAUGGCAACUACUAUAAGCACAAACAUAAGCAUAAAUGUGUAAGUACUACUGUACACUGUAACUAGUAAGCAUUCAUUACUGUCCUUUGUCAUUUAGUACUUUCACAUCAAUAGAGUUUUACUUUCAUUCACAGGGAUCUACUCAAGGUAGUCCAGCUUGCGCCGCGCCUAAUGGCCCCGUGGUAGUAUACACUCCCCACGGCAAUCCACUUCGGCACCCAAUCCCGCACGGGCGAGCAACUGUCGCGUAGGCCAACUCCGGAGUGCCGGCUUGUAGGGAGCUACCCUCACAAGCGUGUGCGAAUGAGCACAAUGGCAAGCAAGCAAGGUCCACAGUCCAACAUGUCUCAAUUAUUACAAUUUCAUUUGCAAUGUUCUCGGUCUCGAUCCUCGAUCGGAAUUUCAAUAUAACAAAUAUGAACAAUAACUAGAAUCCACUAGUUUAGUAAGCAUGUAAGAGUAAUGCUAAUUUACAGGCAUUAGAAUCUUUUCACUAUCAUGGCACUACCAACAUAGUCCCAAAGCAUGUCACGGUUCUCUACUUUAGAGUCAAUGUCAUUGUUUUCUACUUUACAAAAACAUAAUUAUCAUGUCCAUUGGUUACUCAACUGAACUAAAGAUAAACAUAAACAUAAGCAUAAAUACUGUUAUGCAUAAAUUCUCUCUACUUCAUAGAGAUUCUAGUCAAUGUUAUGGCAAAGAAGUUCCAAAGAACCAUAUAGUGACAAUAUCGCACAACUAUGUCAAUUCGAUACAUAUAGAACAUAGGGGAGCUUCACUUGCUCUGGUUAG